GGGUUGUGAGGUUAAGCGACUAAGCGUACACGGUGGAUGCCCUGGCAGUCAGAGGCGAUGAAGGGCGUGCUAAUCUGCGAUAAGCGCCGGUAAG
This 94-nucleotide ribosomal RNA is filed under the name Salmonella enterica subsp. enterica serovar Rubislaw. Its description in RNAcentral is "partial 23S ribosomal RNA". It matches the Rfam family "Bacterial large subunit ribosomal RNA", at positions 1 to 85 of the family's 2925-position model. The record is from RNAcentral. Lineage: Bacteria; Pseudomonadati; Pseudomonadota; Gammaproteobacteria; Enterobacterales; Enterobacteriaceae. RNAcentral also lists the same sequence under 5 other names.